GGUAGUGUGGCCGAGCUAUAGGUGGCGAGUUGUAGCCUCGCCCACUGGGAUUUAACCCACGCUAUCAGGCC
RNAcentral lists this transfer RNA (71 nucleotides) under Lygodactylus stevensoni (Stevenson's dwarf gecko). Its description in RNAcentral is "tRNA-Tyr". Lineage: Eukaryota; Metazoa; Chordata; Lepidosauria; Squamata; Gekkonidae. The record is from RNAcentral.